This 237-nucleotide ribosomal RNA is filed under the name uncultured bacterium. RNAcentral describes it as "partial 16S ribosomal RNA". It matches the Rfam family "Bacterial small subunit ribosomal RNA", at positions 96 to 334 of the family's 1533-position model. The record is from RNAcentral.
CGGCGGACGGGUGAGUAACGCGUGGGUAACCCGCCUCAUACAGGGGGAUAACAGUUGGAAACGGCUGCUAAUACCGCAUAAGCGCACAGUACCGCAUGGUACCGUGUGAAAAACUCCGGUGGUAUGAGAUGGACCCGCGUCUGAUUAGCUAGUUGGUGGGGUAACGGCCUACCAAGCGACGAUCAGUAGCCGACCUGAGAGGGUGACCGGCCACAUUGGGACUGAGACACGGCCCAA